Molecule: transfer RNA, 64 nt
Filed under: Synanthedon scitula (dogwood borer)
Lineage: Eukaryota; Metazoa; Arthropoda; Insecta; Lepidoptera; Sesiidae
Description: tRNA-Leu
Source: RNAcentral
UCUAAUAUGACAGAAAUAUGUGAUGAACUUAAAAUUCAUUUAUAAAGAACUCCUUUUUUUAGAA